Molecule: ribosomal RNA, 301 nt
Filed under: uncultured bacterium
Lineage: Bacteria
Description: partial 16S ribosomal RNA
Rfam family: Bacterial small subunit ribosomal RNA
Source: RNAcentral
CAGUCGCCGCGGGAAUACGAAGGGUGCAAGCGUUAAUCGGAAUUACUGGGCGUAAAGCGUGCGUAGGCGGUUUGUUAAGUCUGUUGUGAAAUCCCCGGGCUCAACCUGGGAAUGGCAAUGGAUACUGGCAAGCUAGAGUGUGUCAGAGGAUGGUGGAAUUCCCGGUGUAGCGGUGAAAUGCGUAGAGAUUGGGAGGAACAUCAGUGGCGAAGGCGGCCAUCUGGGACAACACUGACGCUGAGGCACGAAAGCGUGGGGAGCAAACAGGAUUAGAUACCCCCGUAGUCCCUGUCUCUUAUCC